RNAcentral lists this ribosomal RNA (253 nucleotides) under uncultured bacterium. RNAcentral describes it as "partial 16S ribosomal RNA". It matches the Rfam family "Bacterial small subunit ribosomal RNA", at positions 524 to 776 of the family's 1533-position model. The record is from RNAcentral.
UACGGAGGGGGCUAGCGUUGUUCGGAAUUACUGGGCGUAAAGCGCACGUAGGCGGCUGUUCAAGUCAGAGGUGAAAGCCUGGAGCUCAACUCCAGAACUGCCUUUGAAACUAGACAGCUAGAAUCAUGGAGAGGUGAGUGGAAUUCCGAGUGUAGAGGUGAAAUUCGUAGAUAUUCGGAAGAACACCAGUGGCGAAGGCGGCUCACUGGACAUGUAUUGACGCUGAGGUGCGAAAGCGUGGGGAGCGAACAGG